AGUUAACAAUAAGGACAUUGAGAAUAAGAAACGAGGACCAGAAAAGGAUAAAACCUCGUGAGAGGAGUUCAAUUUAGGUCGCUUGCGAAGAAUGCGGAAUUCAUCAUCACCAGAAUCGUCAACCUCCAACUUGACCUUUUUGAGGCA
Molecule: long non-coding RNA, 147 nt
Organism: Neltuma alba
Lineage: Eukaryota; Viridiplantae; Streptophyta; Magnoliopsida; Fabales; Fabaceae
Exons: 3
Source: RefSeq, a predicted model, not a curated record